AACUUUCAACAACGGAUCUCUUGGUUCCGGCAUCGAUGAAGAACGCAGCGAAAUGCGAUAAGUAAUGUGAAUUGCAGAAUUCCGUGAAUCAUCGAAUCUUUGAACGCACAUUGCGCCCCCUGGCAUUCCGGGGGGCAUGCCUGUCCGAGCGU
Molecule: ribosomal RNA, 152 nt
Filed under: Paecilomyces niveus
Lineage: Eukaryota; Fungi; Ascomycota; Eurotiomycetes; Eurotiales; Thermoascaceae
Description: Byssochlamys nivea 5.8S ribosomal RNA
Rfam family: 5.8S ribosomal RNA
About the family: 5.8S ribosomal RNA (5.8S rRNA) is a component of the large subunit of the eukaryotic ribosome. It is transcribed by RNA polymerase I as part of the 45S precursor that also contains 18S and 28S rRNA. Functionally, it is thought that 5.8S rRNA may be involved in ribosome translocation.
Source: RNAcentral